Pangasius djambal is the source of this 75-nucleotide non-coding RNA. NCBI's taxonomy places the organism in Eukaryota, Metazoa, Chordata, Actinopteri, Siluriformes, Pangasiidae. The record is from the annotation of a GenBank genome assembly.
GCAGUGGUAGCUCAAUGAUUAAGGCUCUGGGUUACUGCUCGGGCGGUUGGGGGUUCAAGCCCCAGCGCCACUGCU